CCUACGGGAGGCAGCAGUGGGGAAUAUUGCACACUGGGCGCAAGCCUGAUGCAGCGACGCCGCGUGCGGGAUGGAGGCCUUCGGGUUGUCAACCGCUUUUGUUCAAGGGCACGGCACGGUCUUUGGCCGUGUUGAGUGGAUUGUUCGAAUAAGCACCGGCUGACUACGUGCCAGCAGCCGCGGGAAUACGUAGGGUGCAAGCGUUAUCCGGAUUUAUUGGGCGGAAAGUGUUCGUAGGCGGUUGUUCGCUUCCGGUGUGAAAGUCCAUCGCUUAACGGGGGAGCCGCGCCGGGUCAGGGCGGGCUUGAGUGCGGUAGGGGAGACUGGAAUGCCCGGUGUAACGGUGGAAUGUGUAGAUAUCGGGAAGAACACCAAGGGCGAAGGCAGGUCUCUGGGCCGUUACUGACGCUGAGGAGCGAAAGCGUGGGGAGCGAACAGGAUUAGAUACCCGAGGAGUC
RNAcentral lists this ribosomal RNA (458 nucleotides) under uncultured bacterium. Its description in RNAcentral is "partial 16S ribosomal RNA". It matches the Rfam family "Bacterial small subunit ribosomal RNA", at positions 338 to 795 of the family's 1533-position model. The record is from RNAcentral.